This 490-nucleotide ribosomal RNA is filed under the name uncultured bacterium. RNAcentral's name for it is "partial 16S ribosomal RNA". It matches the Rfam family "Bacterial small subunit ribosomal RNA", at positions 30 to 507 of the family's 1533-position model. The record is from RNAcentral.
AUUGAACGCUGGCGGCAGGCCUAACACAUGCAAGUCGAACGGUAACAGGAAGCAGCUUGCUGCUUCGCUGACGAGUGGCGGACGGGUGAGUAAUGUCUGGGAAGCUGCCUGAUGGAGGGGGAUAACUACUGGAAACGGUAGCUAAUACCGCAUAAUGCCGCAAGACCAAAGAGGGGGACCUUCGGGCCUCUUGCCAUCGGAUGUGCCCAGAUGGGAUUAGCUUGUUGGUGGGGUAACGGCUCACCAAGGCGACGAUCCCUAGCUGGUCUGAGAGGAUGACCAGCCACACUGGGACUGAGACACGGUCCAGACUCCUACGGGAGGCAGCAGUGGGGAAUAUUGCACAAUGGGCGCAAGCCUGAUGCAGCCAUGCCGCGUGUAUGAAGAAGGCCUUCGGGUUGUAAAGUACUUUCAGCGGGGAGGAAGGGAGUAAAGUUAAUACCUUUGCUCAUUGACGUUACCCGAAGAAGAAGCACCGGCUAACUCCGUG